Molecule: long non-coding RNA, 1355 nt
Organism: Raphanus sativus (radish)
Lineage: Eukaryota; Viridiplantae; Streptophyta; Magnoliopsida; Brassicales; Brassicaceae
Exons: 3
Source: RefSeq, a predicted model, not a curated record
GAGAGAUCGAUCACGGAGUUUCAGCAUCGAAACCGAUUGAGUAGAGAUGAGAGAGAGAGAGGUAGGGAUGAAUGUGCGACGCGUGUCCAUAAGAGACGCCUCUUUCGUCGCUUAAUGAAGAAACGUAUCUUCUAUUAAAAGUGUUGCAUGUAGAACGACCGUGAAUCACCUAAAAUGUUGGGAUAUCAAAAGCUCUUCAAAUCUGUUUAUUAUUCAGAGAUGGAUGAAUGAAGAAUGGGAAUGUUAAUAGUCUGGAUCGAAAGAGAUUGAAUCCAAACAUCAUGGACCACUCAUGUGUUUCACGUGAGAUAAUCUAGGGAUGGAUCCGGAAAAUUAAUUAUGAUGUAUAUGAUGAGUGGUGAUAGUUCGCAUACCGCUCAACUACCACAAUCCUGUUUUGGAUCAUUACGUCAGUUAUUCAUUAUUUAUAUUUCAAUUUUUAUCUAGUUGUUUUUGAUGUUAAAAAAAAACAAAUUUAGUUCUUUUUGAAGAAAUUUUAUAAUUGAUUUAUCUAGUUGCCUUAAAUUCUUGAUUGCAUGCUUAUAGUGUCCUACUAUGUUUUUUUAAAUAGUUGGCCUAAUAUGUUUCACACAAAACAAAAUCUGUCUACCCCUAUAGGCAAAUAAGACGUCCUUUUUAUAUAUCCUUCAGAUCAAAUGUUUUAACCAAAUUGAAGUCUCGCGGUUUCAUUGUCAAGUCCAUGUUAUAUACAUAUAUAUAAGCAUCUGAUCUGAUAUGCAUUGAUUAAUGAAACAAUUACACUCCAAGUCACUUUUCAUCUCUAUAAUAUCAUAAAAAGUCACUUGUUGUUACCGGGACAUUUUGUCCAAACCUUCCUUUAUACCAAAAAAAAAAAACAUGAAAUCUCUAUUCUAUCCUUUUUUCUUUUUCUUCCUCUUCCCACCACUGAAUUCUUCGUCUCUCUCUCUCUCUCCUUCCUGAUUUCUUCAAGUUCUCAAACUCUCUCAAGAGCUCAAGAGCAUAAUUUCCUCAAUUCUCAACGAAAUUUUGUGAUUCUUGUUGCUGAGAAUUCGAAAUCCCUAUCUCUUUCUCCUUAUAAUCUCGGUUUUCCUCAAAGCAAGCUAAGGACACAAUGGAGAGAGCCCGUGGAAGAGCGACCAAGGAAGACAAAGGAAAAGGACUUGCAUCUACUUCCCAAAGUUUCAAUCUUUCUUUGAAAUGUUAUUAACUUGUUACAAAGUUUCAAUUUUUUUGCACUGGUCAUUUGUGGCAUGUACAUGUGGAUACGAAACAUAGCAUAUACAUAGUUUUUUUGAUGUACAUGUGGAUAACGUGAAUAUGUGUACAUAUAAGGCACUCUCUUCUACCUGCAAUGACUACUCAUAUUCUCAAAA